This 367-nucleotide long non-coding RNA is filed under the name Elaeis guineensis (African oil palm). RNAcentral's name for it is "long non-coding RNA (EGUI_LNC006570)". Lineage: Eukaryota; Viridiplantae; Streptophyta; Magnoliopsida; Arecales; Arecaceae. The record is from RNAcentral.
ACUGGAAGGAUGGCUUGGAACAAUUGCUUGGCCAAUAUCAGAUUAGCCAGGGCAGACUCAUCUCCAAGUACUUGAAUGUCAAAGUGUACCGUGUGGCCCUCCGAUGCUACGUCUUCCACCAAAGUCACCGAAGCUUUCCCCCGAUCUCUUGUCGGCAACCCCACAUUCGAAAGUGAGGGAAAACUUGAACUCGACUGCACCAAAGAAGCCCCAGCUGAAGGAGCAACUGGCGCAACUGUAGAUUGUUUGGGUCCUCCCGCCUCGACAUGAAUCUCCUCAGUUGGUGGAACUAUCGAUGUUGCCUCGGUAGUUCUCCUUACCACCCUUUCUUCAGACGGUACGGUAGGAAGCACUGUCGGGGCUGACA